GGUUCGACUCCGGAGAGGGAGCCUGAGAAAUGGCUACCACAUCCAAGGAUGGCAGCAGGCGCGCAAAUUACCCACUCUCAGUACGAGGAGGUAGUGACGAAAAAUAACAAUGCGGGACUCAUCAGAGGCCUCGCAAUUGGAAUGAGCGCACUUUAAAUCGUUCGACGAGGAUCUAUUGGAGGGCAAGUCUGGUGCCAGCAGCCGCGGUAAUUCCAGCUCCAAUAGCGUAUAUUAAAGUUGUUGCAGUUAAAAGCUCGUAGUUGGAUCUGGGGUUCGGGUCGGCGGUUUGCCGCUUCGGCGGCUACUGCCGUGCUCGACUCUUACUAGCCGGUGCGUCUUGCGGUGCUCUUCAUCGAGUGCCGUAGGAGCCUGGCAUGUUUACUUUGAAAAAAUUAGAGUGCUCAAAGCAGGCGAUUCCGCCUGAAUAGUGUUGCAUGGAAUAAUGGAAUAGGACCUCGGUUCUAUUUUGUUGGUUUUCGGAACUUGAGGUAAUGAUUAAGAGGGACGGUCGGGGGCAUUCGUAUUUCGGUGUUAGAGGUGAAAUUCUUGGAUCGCUGAAAGACGGACAAAUGCGAAAGCAUCUGCCAAGAACGUCUCCAUUAAUCAAGAACGAAAGUCAGAGGUUCGAAGACGAUCAGACACCGUCCUAGUUCUGACCAUAAACGAUGCCAACUAGCGAUCCGCAGUGGUUGCUAUGAACGGACUCUGCGAGCAGCUUCCGGGAAACCAAAGUGUUUGGGUUCCGGGGGAAGUAUGGUUGCAAAGCUGAAACUUAAAGGAAUUGACGGAAGGGCACCACCAGGAGUGGAGCCUGCGGCUUAAUUUGACUCAACACGGGGAAACUCACCCGGUCCGGACACUGUAAGGAUUGACAGAUCGAGAGCUCUUUCUUGAUUCGGUGGAUGGUGGUGCAUGGCCGUUCUUAGUUGGUGGAGUGAUUUGUCUGGUUAAUUCCGAUAACGAACGAGACUCUAGCCUGCUAACUAGUUGCGCCGUGUUCAUACGCGGCUGUAGACUUCUUAGAGGGACAGGUGGCGUUUAGCCACACGAAAUUGAGCAAUAACAGGUCUGUGAUGCCCUUAGAUGUCCGGGGCCGCACGCGCGCUACACUGAAGGAGUCAGCGUGUGCUAUCCGGGCUCGGAAGAGUUCGGUAACCCGUUGAAACUCCUUCGUGCUUGGGAUUGUGGCUUGUAAUUAUCGCGCAUGAACGAGGAAUUCCCAGUAAGUGCAAGUCAUCAGCUUGCGCUGACUACGUCCCUGCCCUUUGUACACACCGCCCGUCGCUACUACCGAUUGAAUGGUUUAGCAAGGUACUCGGAUUGGUCUCGAUCUUGUACGAAAGUGCGGGAUCUGUGGCCGAGAAGAAGGCCAAACUUGAUCAUUUAGAGGAAGUAAAAGUCGUAACAAGGUU
Molecule: ribosomal RNA, 1412 nt
Filed under: metagenome
Description: SSU rRNA
Rfam family: Eukaryotic small subunit ribosomal RNA
Source: RNAcentral